Molecule: long non-coding RNA, 662 nt
Filed under: Zostera marina
Lineage: Eukaryota; Viridiplantae; Streptophyta; Magnoliopsida; Alismatales; Zosteraceae
Description: long non-coding RNA (ZMAR_LNC000617)
Source: RNAcentral
UCCAGUUUGUUGUCCGAUAUCAAUUCUGAUUUUCUGACAAUGCCUUCUGAGAAUCGAAAACGUAAAUGUAAGCAAUGAAAUAGUUAUCAAAUAAUCAAUUUAUUAAAAAAAUUUGGCGAAAAUAUAAUUUGAUUUUUUUUGUUUUAAUGAUAUCAGCAAUCGAGACAAAAUCUGAGGGGCUGAAAAAGAAGAAGAAUAAAGAUACAAUAUCAUUUGAUAGCACAAGUGUAGGUUCAAGCAUGUGCAAGGAGAAGGCUGAGACUAGUAAUGCUGCUGCACUAGUGGUGAAGGCUAAAAGGGAAAGGACUGAGGAUAAUCUGCAUAUCAGUAAGUAUUUGUAAGUGAUAUUUAUUUAUCAAUUUUAUUCAAUAUUAAGAAGUAUCUAUUACUUUCAGUAAAUGACCUGAUCAGACAUCGAUCCGGUAUCCCUACAUAUGUCGAUGUUGUCCGUAAGGGUAAAAUAAAAUUCCCCAGAUCGAUAGUGCUAAAAAUGAAAGACACUUGCUUUGGUCAAUUUUUUGGGAUGGUGGAUUUUCCGAUAAAAUCCAGACUUUUGGACGAUUUGGUCGGAGCAUAUGUCGGCAAUUACUGUUUUAAGAUCAAAGGGAAAAAAAUAGAAGUCUCUGUGAAAGAAAUUGGCGAUAUACUCAGGAUUCCGUGUU